GACAGAGGAGGCGAGCGUUAUCCGGAGUUAUUGGGCGUAAAGGGUACGUAGGCGGCUGGUUAAGUCUGGGGUUAAAGACCACAGCUUAACUGUGGGGGGCCUUGGAAACUGACCGGCUGGAGUGGGGCAGGGGUUGCGGGAAUUCCCGGUGUAGCGGUGAAAUGCGUAGAUAUCGGGAAGAACACCUGAGGCGAAAGCGCGCAACUGGGCCCUAACUGACGCUGAGGUAAGAAAGCUAGGGGAGCGAAUGGG
RNAcentral lists this ribosomal RNA (252 nucleotides) under uncultured bacterium. RNAcentral describes it as "partial 16S ribosomal RNA". It matches the Rfam family "Bacterial small subunit ribosomal RNA", at positions 524 to 776 of the family's 1533-position model. The record is from RNAcentral.